CCUACGGGAGGCAGCAGUGGGGAAUUUUGGACAAUGGGCGCAAGCCUGAUCCAGCCAUGCCGCGUGUGGGAAGAAGGCCUUCGGGUUGUAAACCACUUUUGUCAGGGAAGAAACGGCUCUUACUAAUAUUAGGGGCUAAUGACGGUACCUGAAGAAUAAGCACCGGCUAACUACGUGCCAGCAGCCGCGGUAAUACGUAGGGUGCAAGCGUUAAUCGGAAUUACUGGGCGUAAAGCGUGCGCAGGCGGCUUUGCAAGACAGAUGUGAAAUCCCCGGGCUCAACCUGGGAACCGCAUUUGUGACUGCAUGGCUAGAGUACGGUAGAGGGGGAUGGAAUUCCGCGUGUAGCAGUGAAAUGCGUAGAUAUGCGGAGGAACACCGAUGGCGAAGGCAAUCCCCUGGACCUGUACUGACGCUCAUGCACGAAAGCGUGGGGAGCAAACAGGAUUAGAUACCCUGGUAGUCCACGCCCUAAACGAUGUCAACUGGUUGUUGGACGGCUUGCUGUUCAGUAACGAAGCUAACGCGUGAAGUUGACCGCCUGGGGAGUACGGCCGCAAGGUUGAAACUUAAAGGAAUUGACGG
Molecule: ribosomal RNA, 585 nt
Filed under: uncultured bacterium
Lineage: Bacteria
Description: bacterial SSU rRNA
Rfam family: Bacterial small subunit ribosomal RNA
Source: RNAcentral